This 1104-nucleotide long non-coding RNA is filed under the name Hordeum vulgare. RNAcentral describes it as "long non-coding RNA (HVUL_LNC003943)". The record is from RNAcentral. Lineage: Eukaryota; Viridiplantae; Streptophyta; Magnoliopsida; Poales; Poaceae.
AUCACUCCACAACUACUAAUUACCUUUUAUGGCAGGAAUAAUCAACAUCACUCGGCCAACCUAGAAAGCGGCCAACCGAUAGAAGUUACUAGGCAUUGCGUCUCUUUUCUUAUGUCUAUUUUAGACUGUUAUUUCUAGAAAUUACAAAACGUGGUGGCAUUUAUCCUUACUCACACCUAUUUUGUAGAUUUAAGUUUUUUUAUUUCAUUAUCUGAUAAAAAAUACACGCAUUUGGAUGCAUGACGAAAAGAACAAAAUUGUUCCUCAAACUACUAUUUAAAUUAUUCGUUCAUCACAUAUAUCUUUCAAAAAUUAUAUUCCUGCAAAACCCUUAAUCUCUUAGUUUAGAGAAAUAACUAAUGUUGGUUGCUGGAUUCAGGGAAGAUAUGAUGCAAGAGGAUAUUUGACUGCAACGUAUUUGUAAGUUUUUCUAUUUUGACAACUUUUUCAUAAUUGAAUUUAGUUUCAUAGAAUUGUAUCAGUUCCGUGAUCCUGAUUUCUCUUCGCAGUUACAAGUUUAAAACUAACUUGCCCGUGCAACUGCACGGGUUGCCGACUAGUCUUACUAAUAUGUCUUAUAAGAGUGGUCUACUUAGGCAGUGUAGGAGCUGCAAUCAUCUGGUAAUUAAUUGACCUGCUUAAAUAUUUCACCCGAUGAAUAGUUUCACUUGUGAGUUGCUGGUUAUUAUCAAAGAAAGUGACAUAUCUAGCCCGUCUCAAGCACUAGAGUGAUUUCAUUACCACAAUGUUAGAUAGUCUGUUAACAACAUAAAGGAUAUGUAUUGCUUAAUGAUGUGUAAUUUCCAUUCCUUUGAUUUGCACAAAUGGAAAUAGUUCUUAGCAUAGAUAUUGUACAGAAAUAAUGCCUCCUGCUUGCUUGAAAUUUGUCGCGUAUGUGCGUCCUGUAUGAGUUGGAAGUAUGCAUUAGCAUACCAUAUCAAAUAUAUAUAACUCGAUUCUGUUUUCUGUAAUGUCCAGAAUUUUUACAUGUAAAGCAUAACAUAAACUAUGUUUCUGCAGGAACAAACUACAAAAAGUAAGAAUUACAUGAGGUCAUGUCUUUUGUGUCAACAGUGAAGGUUAUAUAUUGUGGCAAGCAUCGAG